This 116-nucleotide ribosomal RNA is filed under the name Colletotrichum graminicola M1.001. Lineage: Eukaryota; Fungi; Ascomycota; Sordariomycetes; Glomerellales; Glomerellaceae. The record is from RNAcentral.
ACGACCAUACCCACUGGAGAACUCGGGAUCCCGUCCGCUCUCCCAUAGAUAAGCCAGUGAGGGCCGGAUUAGUAGUUGGGUCGGUGAUGACCAGCGAAUACCUGGUGUUGUAUGUU